RNAcentral lists this long non-coding RNA (4781 nucleotides) under Citrus sinensis (sweet orange). RNAcentral describes it as "long non-coding RNA (CSIN_LNC000283)". The record is from RNAcentral. Lineage: Eukaryota; Viridiplantae; Streptophyta; Magnoliopsida; Sapindales; Rutaceae.
UGAAAGCAUUAAAUAUACAGAAAUAGGAAAUUUGGAAUAAGAGUUUAAAUAGUUCAACCAUUAUACUUGAUGGCAUCACAUUGUUAUCAAAUCAAACAAAAGAAACAAGAAUCUCUAAUGUGAAACCCUUGCGUAAAAUUCAAACUCAAAAAACACAGUGAUAAACAGCAACAUACGAUAGUAGAAAUGUGGAAAGAUUUGACAUUGACUUCGUGCUCAUUGGCCAUACAGAUUCUCUGGAAACCUAUGUAGCGACAUCCCUCAUUUCUAGUAUUAUAGAAAUCACUGUGAUAAAUGGCAACAUACGGUAGUCGCAAUGUGGAAAGAUUCGCCAUUCACUUCAUGCUCAUAGUCAUUGACCAUACAAAUCCUCUGGAAACCUAUGUAGUGACAUCCCUCAUUUCUGGUAUUGCGAAAGAGCUGAAAAAAAAAAGGAAACAAUAGGAUAGUAAUACGUAAACAAAAAACAUUAAUUUAUUUAUUUUGACAAAAUUACUAAGACACUAACAACUUGAAUUUCUCAUCGAUUUCAUCUCAUUUUAAAAGUAGAAAGAAGUAACCAAUCAAUAACAUCCACAUCUAUUAGAAAGACAAAACAAACUGAAAGACCCAAAUCAACUUCAUAACGCAAGAUUCAAAUGUCAGCAUUUUUAAAUGAAAACUACGUACUUUAUAGUACCUAAAUUAUCAUCAAUCCGAAUGCAGAUCAACAUAUUCAAUUCUCAAGAAUAUUAACCAUAGAGUGAUUCCAUUUAGCUGAUAAAAGUUUCUAGUGUAAAAUGAUUUUUUAAAACAAUUACCUGCAACUAAAUUGCCAUAAUGCUUGCAUUUCCAUUUCCUAGGGUGAAAUUUUAUGUUAAUUUUCUCCAAUAUUUUAAAAUAUUUUUUAAAUUUGAAGAGUAAAAUCAUUUCAUUUAUGCAUUUUUUAUGCUUGAGUGAGUGGUUACUGAGAAAGUAUCAGAGUAAAGAUGCUAAUGUCAAAAACCAAAAUUGCACUGAUCGUGAGUUCUGGAGCACAAUUAGAAUGCCACUUGGUCACAAUUUCCACCAUCUCUUUCACAUUAUUUUUGUGUGAGUUCUUUUCAUAUCAUUUUUUGUGAGUUUUUCAAAUUAAAUACACAUAUGAAUAAAUGUGAUUAAUUAGCUUGUUAUUUAUUAUCUUAUGAAAAUUCUCGUGCAUGUGAGGGUGGGCUAGCUGGAUGUCCCAAAAUGCUUCACUUGCUUAUAACAUCAUUUGAGCUGGCUUGUACACCUACUGAAAAUAGGAGAUAUGGCCUUGCACAGUAAUAAGACAAAGGCCUCGUUUGGGAUUGCUUUUGGAAGGCUUAAAAGUGAUUUUGAAAAUCUAAAAGUUAAUUUUAGUGUUUGGUAAAAAAAAAAUCAAAAUAACUUUUAUCAAAAUCAGUCCCUCUACAUCUGAUUUUGAAAAGUAAAAAAUGAGUAGCUUUUAAAUUUUAAUCACCCUUUAAUAUAAUUUCAUAAAUAUCCUCAAAAUUAUUACCUAAACCCAAAAUUAUCCUUAUUCAAAUUGGAAACAAAAUUAAUAUUUUCACAAAAUUUUAUUAUAAUUCAUCGAUAUAAAUUUAUUAAUAUCAAUUUGUUGGUCAAAUUAUUAUUAAAUUUGUUUCACUAAAUUGUAAAUUUAAUUAUCUAUUGUUUUACGAUAAAAAUAAAAAAUAAAAUCAAUAUAUUAUUAAAUUUAAUUUUUAGUAAAAAUUAUUAUAAUACACAAUCAAAAAUAUUAUAUGUACAUGUUUUUAUAUGUAUAAGGAAAUUUUAUCCUACAUUAUGUACAUUUUAUCUAUAAAUAGCCAACAAUAUUCUAUCUAUAAUUAGCCAACAUACACAGAUGAUCAUGGCAUAGGAACAAACCAUAUGAUUUGUAAAUCAACUCAUCACACAACAUGUUGAGCAUCUACUCUGUGCAUAAAAUUUAUAUUAAUUUUCUCCAAUAAUUCAACUUUUUUUUUUUUAAUUGUAAAUUUAAUUAUCUAUUGUUUUACGAUAAAAAUAAAAAAUAAAAUCAAUAUAUUAUUAAAUUUAAUUUUUAGUAAAAAUUAUUAUAAUACACAAUCAAAAAUAUUAUAUGUACAUGUUUUUAUAUGUAUAAGGAAAUUUUAUCCUACAUUAUGUACAUUUUAUCUAUAAAUAGCCAACAAUAUUCUAUCUAUAAUUAGCCAACAUACACAGAUGAUCAUGGCAUAGGAACAAACCAUAUGAUUUGUAAAUCAACUCAUCACACAACAUGUUGAGCAUCUACUCUGUGCAUAAAAUUUAUAUUAAUUUUCUCCAAUAAUUCAACUUUUUUUUUUUUCAUUUUGCUCCUUCUUUGUGUGUAAAAUCAGUUACGAGCAAUAGCUAAUGUCUGAAAAUCAAAAUUAUAUUGAUCUUGAAAAUGUUUUGAGCUGCAAAUUAGGCUUGUAGUUGAUAUAUGAAUAGUUAGCAGGCUUGUGGCACAAUUAAAAUGAUAUAAUUGGUCACAUUCUCUUUCAUGCCAUUUGCGUGUGUGUGAGGGUGGGUUACUUAACUUCUCUUUCAUGCCAUUUGCGUGUGUGAGGCUGGGAUCUUGGUUCUCUUAAGCUAGCAUGUUAACACACUCAUAUAAAAUGGAAAAAUGAACUUACGUUAUUAAGCUGAAAAGAAAUGUACUACAAUAUACGUAAAUUGAAAGGUUAACCUAUAAAUUCUAUGUGACAUUUCCUUUCUGUAAAAUAUAAUCAAUCUCUAAAUGAAACAUUUAUACAGUUAUACUCACCAUGUAUAUUCAAAAUUAUUGUAACAACGGAAAGUUUCUACGCAUCAUAACUAGACAAAGCACAUGAGUAACUCUGAACUCGAAUCUUGAGGGAAGUAGGAGGUUAAAAAAAUUGGUUAAGGCUUCGCCCACCUCUCUAUUUCUUAAACUUGAACGGGUUGCAAACUGAACCGAAAACUAGAAAAACCAAACUAAAAAAUCAAAAUGUCCACUCUAGAUAUUACCAUAUAACAUAGUAUUUUUUUUAGAAUGACUUAUAACAUAACAUUUGCAUGAAAUUAUUCUUUAUUUUGACAAAUGGGUAAUUUUGUUUCGAUUGUCUUAAGUUUUAAAUAUGUUUAUACCCUUUUCUACUAGUAGUUGAAUAUGAGAAACCGGCAAAACCUUAGAAAAAAAAAAAAAGAAAAAAAAAAAAGAGAAUUACAGUGGCAAGCAUUCACAAAGGCAUGAAAUGGAGUAUUGUUAAUUUUAUCCAAUAUUUCAAGAUCAUUUUCUAAGUUGGAACUUAGUUGUCAUUUGAUAUGUGCUGAACGUAGCAGACCAAGUCAAGAGUAUCUGUUAGUGGAUAAACUUUGAAUAAGUUGGUAGCUGAUAUUUAGUUGCUAUGUUUCCUUAUUUUCUGCUUGUUAGUUCCCAUUUCUUAGCCAUAAAUUGUGUAACUCAGUUGUACUGCAAGGUCUAUAAAUGGCCAAGGUUUUCAUUAAUAAAGGCAGCAAGUUAUACAAGCAAAUACUUUCUCCUCUAAACUACUUCUAUCUGUUCCUGGUUGUAUUAACUGGUAUCAGAGACGGUUCCGAUUAUGGACACCCGUGGCAAAACCAAUGCUGAAUUUCGCAGUGAAGUUAACGAGAUUCUAGCCCGUCACGAGUCUAGCUUCGAUCAAGUUAAUGCCGCUUUACAAACCUUAUUGACAGAGCUUCAAUCUCUGCGAGUUUCUCGUAAUUCAAACCAUCCCAACACUGAAAUCAAUCCAUUUGCUUCUGGAGAAUCAUCACACCAGCCAGCUCGUCCAGAUACCCAACGUCCCAGCUCUUCCCUUGACCACAACCACCAUAAUCUCAAGCUCUCCUUCCCCAAGUUUGGCAGAGACGACCCCACAGGCUGGAUUUACAAAGCGGAACAAUAUUUUGAGUUUAAGAACAUUGCUUCAGAUCAACAAGUGCAGCUUGCCUCUUUCCAUCUUGAAGGCAUUGCUUUACAAUGGCACCGAUGGCUAUCCAAAUUAAAAGGACCAUUAGAUUGGGAAGAAUUCACACGAGCCUUGCUUCAACGAUUUGGCCCAACAGAUUAUGAAGACCCUUCUGAAGCUCUAACUCGUUUAAAACAAACCUCAAUUGUAGAGGCUUAUCAGGAAGCUUUUGAACAAUUGUCUCACAGUGUCGACGGGAUACCUGACAAAUUUUUAAUGGGUUGUUUCAUUGCAGGCCUAAAAGAUGAAAUUUGUCAUUUUAUGUGUUCAUUUUUAAAUGUGCAAUAGUGAGUAUGAGAAAGUAACAAAGAGUAAAGAACCUAAUGUCUAAAAUCCAAAAUUACAUUUGAAACUGAAAGCGGCAGAUUUUUCUUGGUCAUUAGCAUAAUCCUAUGCAUCAAUGGUAUCCAUCUAUGUCAUGAAAAGGCACUCAUCCUUACCUUGUCAAACCAAUAUCUACAAUAGUUCAUGCUAUGUGAAUUUUCGUUGUUUGUGAACACAUCACUUUACUUUCACCAUGCACAUUUGAUUGCGUACUAAACACCGUAAUAAAAAUCAAAUAAAAAACAAGAAACCCAAUGUCAAAACUAAAGGUGGUUUUUGGUUUUAAGAAAGGGGAGCAGAGGAGAGGAAAUAAGGAGAGGAGUGGAGAGGUGAUGAGAGGAGAGGAGUAUGAAAAUUAAUUAAUAUUGUAACACCACAAAUUUCCAUAAUAUUAAAUUAUGGAAAUUGGGCUUUCAUUGAGAAUUAUGGGUGGCCUAUAACCCUUAUUAAGAAAGGGAUACUAAUUAUAAAUAGAGGUUAUUUAUGAGAUAAUUUUGGAAAAGGGUUAUUUUU